CCUACGGGAGGCAGCAGUAGGGAAUUUUCGUCAAUGGGCGCAAGCCUGAACGAGCAAUGCCGCGUGAACGAGGAAGGUCUUCGGAUCGUAAAGUUCUGUUGAAGGGGAAAAAGAGCGGAGAGAGGAAAUGCUUUCUGAUUGAUAUUACCCUUCGAGGAAGUCACGGCUAACUACGUUCCAGCAGCCGCGGUAACACGUAGGUGGCGAGCCGUAUCCGGAUUGAUUGGGCGUAAAGGGUGCGUAGGCGGCCUGAUAAGUCUGGAGUGAAGGUACCGGCUCAACCGGUACAGGCUCUGGAAACUGGCGGGAUAGAGAGCAGGAGAGGGAGGUGGAACUCCAUGUGGAGCGGUAAAAUGCGGAGAUAUAUGGAAGAACAUCAGUGGCGAAGGCGGCCGCCUGGCCUGUUAACUGACGCUGAGGCACGAAAGCGUGGGGAGCAAAUAGGAUUAGAUACCCCGGUAGUC
RNAcentral lists this ribosomal RNA (464 nucleotides) under uncultured bacterium. Its description in RNAcentral is "partial 16S ribosomal RNA". It matches the Rfam family "Bacterial small subunit ribosomal RNA", at positions 338 to 795 of the family's 1533-position model. The record is from RNAcentral.